CCUCCUAUUUUUAUUUUCCUGGUGUGCCCCCGCUCAUCUUCCUCCUCCUUUCAUCUUCCCCCUGCAGGUUCUCCUCGGUGACGCUCUGCGUCCCCCAGCGCCGCCGCUCCUGUCUGGGCUGAAGGAUGAGGCGCGUUGGGCUGUACAUCAUCUCAGCACGGCUCCCAUAAGAUCAAACUGCUUCAUUCUUCUUAUGGGAACCUUGUUUGGAUGCAAAUGAUGCUUCAGCUGGAAGGAGGCAAGUGGAGGCUGGAGGGAACUCAGAGGAAGGUCAUCUGGAGGACCAGACGGGUCGGCGUGGCCUUUAAACCAAGCCGCACACACAGGCACACAAGCUAACAGAUGGCUAAAUGGAACCCUGAGGCUCCUGCUGAUCCAUCUCCGGAUUAUUCUUAUCAUCCAAAAAAAGCUGUGACUCUGCAGGAACAGAGAGGAGUGAAAGUUUCUGUUGAAUGUUUCUGGGAGUCGACGGGCAGUAAAGCAUGGAGCGGCGUGAUGCAGACGCCGCAUUGAGACAGCAACAGCGUGUUAACCUGUCUUGAUGAACUGCGUGAAAGUCAUUUGUCCGGCGCGGACCGUGCUGCUCUGCCAGAGCUCGGCUCCAAUGGCGGAGGGCGAAAGCUUCCUGCAGAC
Molecule: long non-coding RNA, 633 nt
Filed under: Oryzias sinensis (Chinese medaka)
Lineage: Eukaryota; Metazoa; Chordata; Actinopteri; Beloniformes; Adrianichthyidae
Description: lncRNA (ENSOSIG00000001177.1)
Source: RNAcentral